UGGGGAAUAUUGCGCAAUGGGCGAAAGCCUGACGCAGCGACGCCGCGUGAGGGAUGAAGGUUUUCGGAUCGUAAACCUCUGUCAGAAGGGAAGAAACCGCACUGUGCUAAUCAGCAGUGCCUUGACUGUACCUUCAAAGGAAGCACCGGCUAACUCCGUGCCAGCAGCCGCGGUAAUACGGAGGGUGCAAGCGUUAAUCGGAAUUACUGGGCGUAAAGCGCACGUAGGCUGCUUUGUAAGUCAGGGGUGUAAUCCCACGGCUCAACCGUGGAACUGCCUUUGAUACUGCUUAGCUUGAAUCCGGGAGAGGGUGGCGGAAUUCCAGGUGUAGGAGUGAAAUCCGUAGAUAUCUGGAGGAACAUCAGUGGCGAAGGCGGCCACCUGGACCGGUAUUGACGCUGAGGUGCGAAAGCGUGGGGAGCAAACAGG
This 429-nucleotide ribosomal RNA is filed under the name Fusobacteriota bacterium. RNAcentral's name for it is "Fusobacteria bacterium partial 16S ribosomal RNA". It matches the Rfam family "Bacterial small subunit ribosomal RNA", at positions 355 to 776 of the family's 1533-position model. Lineage: Bacteria; Fusobacteriati; Fusobacteriota. The record is from RNAcentral.